GGCGCCUGCACGCACUCAGCGCGCAGGCUGGUUCAACCGAACUCGGGAACGCUCCGACCGCACAAUUCCUAACCAGAAAUCGGUUAGGCAUUUUCCCGAACUGAAGAACGCAGAGAUGCUAUCCGCCUCCUGAUAACAGGAAGUUUACCAGGGACCAGAAGCGAGGUGGCCGGAGCCCUUGUGCAGUGGGAGUGACAGUUACCCGGGCCCGCACUCCCCUGUCCUCCCGGCUCCGGCCGCAGACGCCCCCACGCCGCCAGCCCCGCCACAGAACCGCGGAAAGCUGGCAGGAGAGCACGGGGCCUCCGGAGACCCGGCCGCAGGCCCGUGGGCGCCGCGACGGCGAGGACGAGGGGAAUAUUUUCUGUUCUCGGUUGCUGGAAUCCACAGAUGUAGAACCCAUGGACACAGGACCAACUGUAGACAACCACAGGAGGUGUUGUCAGGCAUAAUUUAGCUAUUUCCUAAAAUGGACAAAAUUGGAAGCACUGGUUAUGACCCCAAGGCUUUGCCUGGAAUAUCAUAUUUGAGAAUGAUGUUCAUUUGAUCAGAAAUGACCUGAUACUUCUAAGGAACUAAGGUUGAUUUUAUGGAGCCAAUGGUUACAAAGCCUUCUUGGGAAAACUGACCUGGUACUUGUUUGCCGAGUUCCCAGCCUUACAGCAUUACCAAGCACUAAAACUUGUCUACCUGGAUCCUAUCAGCACUUCAGGUUGCCUUGCAGCUGGCCUUUCCCCCCAGAAUCUGAAGAAGCUCUGCAAGCUGUAGCCUAGUGACUUGGCAGCAACCUUUAAGGACCCAGCUCCACAGCAGACCAUGCACAGGCUGGAAUUCUCCCUGGACAAGCUGCUGCUGGACCACUAAGGAAGGCCAACAAAAUACUUGGAUCACACGUGCCCGUGAAUGAAAGGUAGCCAAGACGACACACAACAUCACCAAGAGUAUGGCCAUCUUAGCUUUGAGAAACUCAAGGAGUGGUGCUGCAAGAUUUUCUUCCUCUAGAAUCCCCUGGACUGGUGAAUUCUCAAGGUUCAACUCCUGGCUCUUUACCUUAAUACAAUUCUUAUACUAUUAUGUCUCUAUUUUAGGCAUCCCUCUUUUAAGAUAUCUGAUCUCCAGGACCAUAAAACAACUGACCUCUGCCCCACCUCUCAACAGAUGCGCCACCAGUUUUAGAAGAACAACACCAGCGAGAACUCUGGAGAGACUGUUUCUUAGGCCCUGCUUCCUGCCCCUUGGGAGACUUAUGCUUGCCUCUGAGUUGUUCAGUGACAAAAGAUAGUCAUCUGGAACAGGGAGGCGGGACUGACAUUACUGAGCGUUACCUGAGCUCUGUGCAACUUCAGCAGUGAUGCUUAAGAAAUCCCCGGACCCCUCUGUGCCUUGGAAAUGACAAGCCAGCUAACCACAAAGGACCACACUGCCCUCAGAGUCUCCAAGGGAAGUCUCAACUCCAUCCUUUCUCAUGACUCCUCUCCAGUGAGGACCUCCCUUUGAUGGCAGCCGGCACGUUGCCCCCGACUGCCCGGCUGGAAUAACAACCAACUGUGCCCUGAUACUCUGUUCAGCCCUCCUGAGGACAACUACCCUUUCGACAGCUCAGGACAUGAGUAAACAGAGAAGGACAGCAUGGCCCUAGUUGC
Molecule: long non-coding RNA, 1643 nt
Organism: Aethalodelphis obliquidens (Pacific white-sided dolphin)
Lineage: Eukaryota; Metazoa; Chordata; Mammalia; Artiodactyla; Delphinidae
Exons: 5
Source: RefSeq, a predicted model, not a curated record